Molecule: ribosomal RNA, 468 nt
Filed under: Veillonella parvula
Lineage: Bacteria; Bacillati; Bacillota; Negativicutes; Veillonellales; Veillonellaceae
Description: bacterial SSU rRNA
Rfam family: Bacterial small subunit ribosomal RNA
Source: RNAcentral
GACGAACGCUGGCGGCGUGCUUAACACAUGCAAGUCGAACGAAGAGCGAUGGAAGCUUGCUUCUAUCAAUCUUAGUGGCGAACGGGUGAGUAACGCGUAAUCAACCUGCCCUUCAGAGGGGGACAACAGUUGGAAACGACUGCUAAUACCGCAUACGAUUUAACCUCGGCAUCGAGGAAAGAUGAAAGGUGGCCUCUAUUUAUAAGCUAUCACUGAAGGAGGGGAUUGCGUCUGAUUAGCUAGUUGGAGGGGUAACGGCCCACCAAGGCGAUGAUCAGUAGCCGGUCUGAGAGGAUGAACGGCCACAUUGGGACUGAGACACGGCCCAGACUCCUAGGGAGGCAGCAGUGGGGAAUCUUCCGCAAUGGACGAAAGUCUGACGGAGCAACGCCGCGUGAGUGAUGACGGCCUUCGGGUUGUAAAGCUCUGUUAAUCGGGACGAAAGGCCUUCUUGCGAACAGUUAGAAG